UUAGCGGCGGACGGGUGAGUAACGCGUGGACAAUCUACCCUGUAGACCGGGAUAACACCUCGAAAGGGGUGCUAAUACCGGAUAAUGUCAAAUGAUGGCAUCAUCAUUUGAAGAAAGGAGAAAUCCGCUAUAGGAUGAGUCCGCGUCCCAUUAGCUAGUUGGCGGGGUAAAAGCCCACCAAGGCGACGAUGGGUAGCCGGCCUGAGAGGGUGAACGGCCACACUGGAACUGAGACACGGUCCAAACUCCUACGGGAGGCAACAGUGGGGAAUAUUGUGCAAUGGGGGAAACCCUGACACAGCGACGCCGCGUGAGCGAAGAAGGCCUUCGGGUCGUAAAGCUCAAUAGUAUGGGAAGAUAAUGACGGUACCAUACGAAAGCCCCGGCUAACUACGUGCCAUCAGCCGCGGUAAUACGUAGGGGGCGAGCGUUGUCCGGAAUUACUGGGCGUAAAGAGCACGUAGGCGGCUGUAAAAGUCAGAUGUGAAAAACCUGGGCUCAACCGAGGGUAUGCAUCUGAAACUAAAUAGCUUGAGUCAAGGAGAGGAGAGCGGAAUUCCUGGUGUAGCGGUGAAAUGCGUAGAGAUCACGAAGAAUACCAGUGGCGAAAGCGGCUCUCUGGACUUGAACUGACGCUGA
RNAcentral lists this ribosomal RNA (639 nucleotides) under Thermoanaerobacterium calidifontis. Its description in RNAcentral is "bacterial SSU rRNA". It matches the Rfam family "Bacterial small subunit ribosomal RNA", at positions 92 to 749 of the family's 1533-position model. The record is from RNAcentral. Lineage: Bacteria; Bacillati; Bacillota; Clostridia; Thermoanaerobacterales; Thermoanaerobacteraceae.